Molecule: long non-coding RNA, 741 nt
Organism: Salvelinus sp. IW2-2015
Lineage: Eukaryota; Metazoa; Chordata; Actinopteri; Salmoniformes; Salmonidae
Source: RefSeq, a predicted model, not a curated record
CUUUGAAAUCAAUAUUUUUUGUUUGGCAUACGUUUAAAAACUCUGACUCUCWGCGCAAAUCCGUUGCCCGUUCGCAAAGCAACAACCAGGAACAGAACUGCCUCAGGGCAGAAAAAAAGCAAGGUGAUUGGGGUGGAGUCGACACGACCUACUGUACAGUCACAGACUCCAGUGGACUAGCUACUCACAAGUUUAGCAUUUUGCCCUUCCCCUCUUUGGUUUGGACAAUUGAAGGAAUCCCUGAAAAAUUGAGUUUGAAACGUCUCUAUCUAUUAUUUUGGAUACAUCAACGCCUUGCUACUUGUAACAACACAGCCGCAGCAUGGGGGCACCAGCGACAGCGUACGACGAGAAGAAGGAAACAUGCGGAACCGUCUGUCUGAAGUACCUCCUAUUCACAUUCAACUUCCUCUUCUGGACCAACACAACACCACCAGGCAUUCCAUCCCACGUUCCUUAUCGCACAACUGUUACCCAGCCCGCUAGACUGAACAGCUAGUCAGCCACACUGGGGGGAAUCCACUGGGAAAUUGAGAAUCCAUCGGGAAAUUGAGAAUUCUACUAGUUAUGAUUCUGUUCCUUUACAAUUUUGUCAGUGUCAAGAUAACAUUAUGUCGGGGCGAUGUUUAAGUUAGCAGCAGCUACUGUAUUUCUUCCUCUGUAAAAUCUUAUUUAAUAUAUCUAAUGCAGUGCCUUCAGACAGUAUUCACACUCCUUGAUUGCCAAAGUGGAAUUAUGAUA